RNAcentral lists this ribosomal RNA (514 nucleotides) under uncultured bacterium. RNAcentral's name for it is "bacterial SSU rRNA". It matches the Rfam family "Bacterial small subunit ribosomal RNA", at positions 19 to 518 of the family's 1533-position model. The record is from RNAcentral.
CUGGCUCAGGACGAACGCUGGCGGCGUGCCUAACACAUGCAAGUCGAGCGGGGACAUUGCGACGGAGACGAAGUACUCGUACGGAGUCAAAGAUGUAAUGUUCUAGCGGCGGACGGGUGAGUAACGCGUGAGCAACCUGUCCCUUACAGGGGGAUAACACAGCGAAAGUUGUACUAAUACCGCAUAAGACCACAGAGUGACAUCGCUCAGGGGUCAAAGGAGCAAUCCGGUAAGGGGUGGGCUCGCGUCCGAUUAGAUAGUUGGUGAGGUAACGGCCCACCAAGUCGACGAUCGGUAGCCGACCUGAGAGGGUGAUCGGCCACAUUGGGACUGAGACACGGCCCAAACUCCUACGGGAGGCAGCAGUGGGGAAUAUUGGGCAAUGGGGGAAACCCUGACCCAGCAACGCCGCGUGAGGGAAGAAGGUUUUCGGAUCGUAAACCUCUGUCCCAGGUGAAGAGGAAGAGACGGUAGCCUGGGAGGAAGCCCCGGCUAACUACGUGCCAGCAGCGGC